Molecule: long non-coding RNA, 1574 nt
Organism: Megalobrama amblycephala (Wuchang bream)
Lineage: Eukaryota; Metazoa; Chordata; Actinopteri; Cypriniformes; Xenocyprididae
Exons: 3
Source: RefSeq, a predicted model, not a curated record
UUCUUGGCAUCGUUCAGUACCUGAAGGCACGUGUUAAUCGAGAUGAACAGCAUUGUUUCGUGGCGUGAUUGUAAAGGGUUGGGCCUAAUCAAACUAUAAAUGAGAAACCGUUUACCAGCUUCUCAUUUUACAUGAUCCCCCAAAGCCGCUUUUUAAAAAAAGCAGAUUUUAUAAAAAUAAAAAAAGGUCCUGGGGCAGGAGUUCAUCUGACAGACAGGUCCAUUGGUGGAGAGACGAGACUGUAGGCCGGCAUACAGAGCCUCUUCAUCAAAGAGAAAGUAGUGUCUUGGUGGCUCCUGCCCCGGGAACUACUAAAAAAAAAAAUAUGAGUUCUUCACCAGAAAAAUCUCACCUAACCCCACCGAGCUCUGAACAGAUUUCCCUAACACAUAAAGAGACGCCUGAAUUUCCAAAAUACCAAACAAUUUUAUCUGAUGGGUAAGUUCACAUAUAGACAUAUUUUGUAAGUGUUAUAAAGUAUUUAAAUCAGUGUUAUUUAUUUAUUUAAACAAUCUUAAGUUUUUUAUUGAAAUGAAAAAAGACCUGCCAACCUUGGAAAUGUAAUUUGAGUACAGGACUAGACUAGACACGUGAUUGGGGGGGUUAGGGGUCAUAUAUCAAAGAUUUCACUACACCUGCUCAAAAGCAUUUUUUUAAAUUCAUGAUUAAUAUUGAAUUGCAUAAUGUGUGCUUAUACAAGCUGACAACUACAAGUGAAUCGCAUUAAACUAUUUAAUAUGACUAAAAUAUAAUUUUUUUUUAUUUGCAAUUUCAAGUAGGCUAUAUCUACAUACUACGAAUAACCUGAAGUCAAGACGUUUAUACAGAUUUAAUGAAAACUAGUCUAAAAUUAAGAAACCCUAAAAAAUUUAAAAUACUUAAUUUAUUAUUCCAAUAUCCAAAUAUGAUACUAAAUCCUACAGAAAAGAAAGGUUUCUAUUUGUAAUGUGCUGUCUUUUAUUUUGAUCAGUGCACAUUAAACAAGACAAACAUUCACUGAAUAAACGAAAACAGCUGACAAUGAAUAGAAAGGACCAAUAAGAGCAAAACGCAUCGAGUAUUCAAGAAUAUCAAGAAGUUAGUCCGACAUAUAACGAGGGGUUGUGUUAACUAAAGCAUCUGUCAUUUACCGCAUCUUAAAAACACGGGUGUAUUAUUCAAAAUGUUUUCUGACAAAAAAAUAACACAAGAAAAAAAAAAUUCAAUGUAAGUAUAUGCAGUAUAAAACAAAUGCAGUUUAACUGCACAAUGGCUGCUAUAAAUUACAACAAAGCCAGCAAAGAUUGCAGUUCAGUUCAUGUUAUUGUUUACACGGUCGUCAAGAGCAGAGCAAAUGUGGGCAGCCACACCAUUGUUUUAAAAGUCUCUGUUUUGUUCCAUUUAUACUGAAAUGCAACCGGUGUAGUGUAAACGACUGGUGUAACCAUAGCAAAACGUCUGCGUUUUAAACCGAAAACGCACUAGUGUAAAUGGGCCUCAUAUACAUUGUCAUUUUGCAUCACACCAUGCCACAUCCAGUGUAAAAAAUGUCACUGAUUAUAAAUGGGUUCUACUGUCUUUUGUCGUGUCGCAUC